RNAcentral lists this transfer RNA (73 nucleotides) under Marmota monax (woodchuck). RNAcentral's name for it is "tRNA.Gly". The record is from RNAcentral. Lineage: Eukaryota; Metazoa; Chordata; Mammalia; Rodentia; Sciuridae.
UGGGGAUAUGGCUCAAUUGGCAGAGUGUUCAUCUCCCAUGCACAAGGCCCUGGGUUCAAUCCCCAGCACACAA